GGCGGCGGUUGGCGGAGAGGUUACGCAGCGGAUUGCAAAUCCGUGAAGACCGGUUCGAUUCCGGUACCCGCCUCCA
This 76-nucleotide transfer RNA is filed under the name Exiguobacterium profundum. RNAcentral describes it as "tRNA-Cys". It matches the Rfam family "tRNA". Rfam says of the family: Transfer RNA (tRNA) molecules are approximately 80 nucleotides in length. The record is from RNAcentral. Lineage: Bacteria; Bacillati; Bacillota; Bacilli; Caryophanales.